GCUAACUACGUGCCAGCAGCCGCGGUAAUACGUAGGGUGCAAGCAUUGUCCGGAUUUAUUGGGCGUAAAGAGCUCGUAGGCGGCUUGUCACGUCGGAUGUGAAAACUCGGGGCUCAACCCCGAGCCUGCAUUCGAUACGGGCUAGCUAGAGUGUUGCAGGGGAGACUGGAAUUCCUGGUGUAGCGGUGAAAUGCGCAGAUAUCAGGAGGAACACCGGUGGCGAAGGCGGGUCUCUGGGCAACUACUGACGCUGAGGAGCGAAAGCGUGGGGAGCGAACAGGAUUAGAUACCCUUGUAGUC
RNAcentral lists this ribosomal RNA (300 nucleotides) under uncultured Sporichthya sp. RNAcentral's name for it is "bacterial SSU rRNA". It matches the Rfam family "Bacterial small subunit ribosomal RNA", at positions 496 to 795 of the family's 1533-position model. The record is from RNAcentral. Lineage: Bacteria; Bacillati; Actinomycetota; Actinomycetes; Sporichthyales; Sporichthyaceae.